This 395-nucleotide ribosomal RNA is filed under the name uncultured bacterium. RNAcentral's name for it is "partial 16S ribosomal RNA". It matches the Rfam family "Bacterial small subunit ribosomal RNA", at positions 523 to 918 of the family's 1533-position model. The record is from RNAcentral.
AUACGUAGGGUGCAAGCGUUAAUCGGAAUUACUGGGCGUAAAGCGUGCGCAGGCGGUUUUGUAAGACAAAGGUGAAAUCCCCGGGCUCAACCGGGGAACUGCCUUUGUGACUGCAAGGCUAGAGUACGGCAGAGGGGGUUGGAAGUCCGCGUGUAGCAGGGAAAUGCGUAGAUAUACGGAGGAACACCGAUGGCGAAGGCAAUCCCCUGGGCCUGUACUGACGCUCAUGCACGAAAGCGUGGGGAGCAAACAGGAUUAGAUACCCUGGUAGUCCACGCCCUAAACGAUGUCAACUGGUUGUUGGGUCUUCAUUGACUCAGUAACGAAGCUAACGCGUGAAGUUGACCGCCUGGGGAGUACGGCCGCAAGGUUGAAACUCAAAUGAAUUGACGGGG